RNAcentral lists this long non-coding RNA (2331 nucleotides) under Homo sapiens (human). Its description in RNAcentral is "non-protein coding lnc-FAM177B-1:1". The record is from RNAcentral. Lineage: Eukaryota; Metazoa; Chordata; Mammalia; Primates; Hominidae.
AUUUUUAAUACAGCGGAGAUGUUUCUUGCUUUGUUUUCAGACUCUCCUUUUUAAUCAGGACAACAUUUGAAAGAUUUUAUUGUGCCUCUAAAGGGUAUAUUUGGGGGUUGGGUCUUUUUGUUAAACUCUGGAUAGUAAUAAGUUUCAGGUCAGUAUAGGCCCGAAUCAUGUGGUUUCAGGUAUGUUUUUCUUUUUUCUUUUUCUUUUUUUUUUUUCUUUUUUUUUUUUUUUUUUUUUGAGGUGGAGUCUCCCUCUGUUGCCCAGGCUGGAGUGCAGUGGCAUGAUCUCGGCUCACUGCAACCCUCCACCUCCUGAAUUAAAGUGAUUCUCCUGCCUCAGCCUCCCGAGUAGCUGGGAUUACAGGCACGCACCACUACACCCAGAUAAUUUUUGUAUUUUUAGUAGAGACGUGAUUUCACCAUGUUGGCCAGGCUGGUCUCGAACUCCUGACCUCAGCUGAUCUGCCCGCCUUGGCCUCCCAAAGUGCUGGGAUUACAGGCGUGAUCCACUGCACCUGGCCUCAGGUAUGUUUUUCUAUCUACACACAAAAAGUUUAUUUUCCUUCCUCUUAUUUGAUAUCAGAAGAAUGACAGGAAUCAGUUUUUAACAGAGAUAGUUUUUCCGUUUCUCCAUUGUGUUAAUCAGAGCGCAGACUUACAUUCUCAGUCAUUUAUCUUUUCUGGUGGAGAAUAAAAAGUCACUUAUAGUUAAAGAUCAGAAAAUUAUCACACCAAAUCCAUUACAUAUGUUAGAAUCAAUAAUUUACUCAAAAAUCAGCUUUUAUAGGUAUGUUGGCACCUUAUCCAAGAACUUAUCCCUGUUCCAGUACCCCUGUGCUUCAUUCAGUAUCAGUAACCCUGCAAUGAUUUUUACAAAUAUCUUUUUCUAGUGGGUUUUUUACUUAGAGGAAAGAACUUUGUAAUAGCUCUUAAUGUUUAUAUAUAAGAGAAGACAGAAUGGAAAAUGUUUUUUGAAGUCAAAUAUUGCAUGAUGUAAAGAAAAAACUUUAAACUUAAAUGAGUAGGUUGUCCUGAAUUACACUGGUAACUCUCUACUUCUUUAUUAAAGAAGUUAUAGUAAGAUGCCUUUGUUACCUGAUUUCAGUGUACAUUGUUUUUAUGUGGUUUUCUGAUAAUGUCCUGUCAGAAUUGUAUUGGUUUAGGCCAAAGGCCAUAGCAAAAACAUAGAGAACAAAUAUGAUCUUAAAAAUAGAUUGUAACAUUUUAAACAAUUAGUUUAGUAAUUUGGGAAAUAGUGGAUGCAUAAUACUUUAACAGAAGUCACACAUCUGUAGGUUUAUCUUUUGAUUAUUCUCCUGAGGCAUUAGAUAGUUUUUCUAUUAUAAGUGACAGAUUGACUCACUUAAUAUAAAUAAGUAGCAUACACUAAAAGCUUACUAUGUGCCAGAUACUGUGCUGGACACUUACAUAGAUAAGCCAUUGAAUCCACACAGCAGCCCUGUAAGAAAUAAGUAAAAUCUGCAUAAAGUGUUGAAAUAGGAAUAUACAUUUCAUUAUGAAAAAUGAAUAGAUUAUGCCUAUCUGAAUCAAUAUUGCAUUCAAAUAAGUGAUUACUUAAAUCAUAUAUCAUAGUUUACACUCCUUAAAAAAAGGUACAUAAAUUCAGUGAGGUUUUUUUCUUAACAUACAGAAGUACUAAAUACUGCUUGCAGUAUAAUAUUGAUAUUGGAAGCUGCAGUUUCCAGAAUAAGUGGAGUAAUAACUAAACAGACAUUUAAUUUUAUUUCAAUAUCUAUGGAAAAAACACUUAUUAAAUCUCCCUGUAUUUUAUGUUGUCUUUAUUACAGAAUCACUUGUCUGUUUGUUGUGUGCCACUUACUGACAAAACUUUAAACAGUACUUGAUGCCAGCUCUCUACUCUGUGGCUGUGGGACCUGUUUCUUUUAGGUACUUGUGCUUAUUAAUCUACUUACUAAAUUUUCACAUUGACAUUUUUGGGGAUGAUACUACCAUAUACGAAAUGGAAAAUGUAAUAUGCUCAGUGCUUCUGUAAAAUGCAGCAAUACUGGUAUUACUUUACAUCAGUAGGCAUCUUUGACAUGAGCAUAUAAAUAUUUUGUUGACUCAGCAAAGGUGACACUUUGUGACUAAAGUAUCCCAUUAUAUAUAAUGUUUUUUGAAAUGUUGGAAAUUUUGGGGAAUUAUCAAAUGUAUAGAAGUUGCAUGAAGGUUAUAGAGAGGUGUAACUGUUUGUUAACUAUUACAUGGAUUUCAUACUAGGCAGUGACAACUAACAUGUUACUUCAACUAAAAGUGUAUAAUGGGUUGUCUUUUUAUUUAUGAAAAUAAAAGUAAUUUUACUUACAAUUUC